AUUGAACGCUGGCGGCAUGCCUUACACAUGCAAGUCGAACGGCAGCACGGGAGCAAUCCUGGCGGCGAGUGGCGAACGGGUGAGUAAAGUAUCGGAACGUGCCCAGUCGUGGGGGAUAACGUAGCGAAAGUUACGCUAAUACCGCAUACGAUCUAUGGAUGAAAGCGGGGGAUCGCAAGACCUCGCGCGAUUGGAGCGGCCGAUAUCAGAUUAGGUAGUUGGUGGGGUAAAGGCUGACCAAGCCGACGAUCUGUAGCUGGUCUGAGAGGACGACCAGCCACACUGGGACUGAGACACGGCCCAGACUCCUACGGGAGGCAGCAGUGGGGAAUUUUGGACAAUGGGCGAAAGCCUGAUCCAGCCAUGCCGCGUGCAGGAUGAAGGCCUUCGGGUUGUAAACUGCUUUUGUACGGAACGAAAAGGUUUGGCCUAAUAAGCUGAGCUCAUGACGGUACCGUAAGAAUAAGCACCGGCUAACUACGUGCCAGCCGCCGCAGUAA
This 500-nucleotide ribosomal RNA is filed under the name uncultured bacterium. Its description in RNAcentral is "partial 16S ribosomal RNA". It matches the Rfam family "Bacterial small subunit ribosomal RNA", at positions 30 to 523 of the family's 1533-position model. The record is from RNAcentral.